GAAUAUCGAGCAAAUGAUGGAGACGUUGAAAGGAGCGGGGGAUUGCGGGAUUGAUAAUCUUUCUGAGCAAGAUGGAAAGAUUAUUGAGUGAUUUUUCUCUCUCUCGAUUGAGUGAUUUUUAUUGAGUGACAUUUGUUGCAUUUUUUGUCUCUUCAUUUUUUUUUAUUUUAUAUCUCUUAUAAGACCUAAUAAUAAUAUUAAUAAA
This 205-nucleotide non-coding RNA is filed under the name Paramoeba aestuarina. Lineage: Eukaryota; Discosea; Flabellinia; Dactylopodida; Paramoebidae. The record is from RNAcentral.